GGCAACAAUAUUCAUUAAUCCAAUCGUUAUCUCAACUUAAUCAUUGGGAUAUGCUCACGUUCCACUUUCAAAUUAGAAGAGUAUACUAGGAAAACUUGUUCUCGCAAGUGUGACUUCUGCUGCUCCUUUUUCCCCAUACCAUUGCCCCAUAAUCCAAACAUGUCAAUGCAGCGUCAAAAACUGUGCAAAUUGUUCAACUGUUGAUAAUACAUGUCCAAAAUAUAAUAAGCUGGUACGGUACAUCGUCCAUAAUUGCGUGUGCCGUGGCGAUGCAUAAAACUAGCCCUUUUAAUGACAUCUAAAGAAAAAGCUGGACCAAAAUUCAUUUUCUAUACCAAAGACGAAUGAGAUGAAGCUUUCGGAAUUUUGUUGAGAGGCAGUUUGAACUAACCUCAAUACUUUGGACAUCCUAACCCUUUCUUGGGUGGGAUUUUGUAUUUUGCUAGAAAGAGAGGAAUUUUGAAAGAUUUCGAAAUCUUUGGCUUUUAUUGAUUUCCCUCAUUUUUGGUCAACGAGUUGAGUGGAUUCAAUUUGGGAGACUGAUUGAUUGGAGGAUUACCUCCGGAAGCCCGGAAUGGCUUACGAAUGACUGAUUGUGCUUUACAAAAGAGAAGAGCUUGAGGAACGUUAGAGUUGCUCGCUUUCUACCAUGUGCACGUCUCUUAUUUCAAGAUAAUGGCCUGGGAUUUUCAUCAAUAACCUGAUCAGUGAUUCCUCCUUGAUGAUGCUACUUCACGUUGCGCCCGUUUGUUAAAUGAGGAAGAAAAGAUCUUCGAGGGUCUUUUUCCGUUUUCGUUAUUGGUUGAUAUUUUCCUUUCGCGAAAUACCCCCUCACUUCUACCACAUACUCCGUUUUGUUUUGUUUUAUAUGUUUAUUGGAUCUUAAUGUUUUUUUUGUUUUGGAGAGGCUAUAUUCCUUUACCUCAAGGGAAUUCCAAAAUCAAAAGAAAGGAGUGUGUUCUUAUGAGCACAUUCUAAAAGACCAAAUAUGUCUGAAACAAGAAUCUGAUUGUGAGUGAUUUUAUUCGUCGACAUCCCCCCCCCCCAUUGAGCUUUAAUGGUUUUCUUUUUUUGGAUUCGCAGUCCAAAUUUUUUUUGGCUUUAGUAUUUGGUGAUCAUUUGAACGUCAAGGGGACUGACAUUGUCAUUGUUACCGGCUCAGAAAACUGUUGCUUAAAUUAAACUUGUUUUUAUUUCCUUUCGGGGAGGUAAAGGGGAUCAAACUAUUGGGUUAACUCAAUAAGGCUGGGUUUUCUCCUAAUCCUUGUUGUUUGUCAUCAAAGCAUCUAUACUUGAUUCAAGGGGCUUUCCUUUAGGGAUAGUAUUCCAAUACUCUAUCAGAGUAUGUUUGAUGAUAGCGUAUGUGCUUUUCGAAUGAUGGGGAUGAAAGUUUUUGAGUACCAUAGUGUAUCCUUAAAGUUUAUUUUAUUAGCGACGCUUUGGAAUGUUUGAGUUGGGCGUGGCAUGUGAGGAAGGGGCAAUAGAUGGGGGAUUUGACUGUGGGAUUACGUGAGAAAGAUUGGAUUUGAAGUUGUCCUUCUACUUAUUUUU
Molecule: non-coding RNA, 1551 nt
Filed under: Lodderomyces metapsilosis
Lineage: Eukaryota; Fungi; Ascomycota; Pichiomycetes; Serinales; Debaryomycetaceae
Source: RNAcentral